RNAcentral lists this ribosomal RNA (675 nucleotides) under uncultured endomycorrhiza of Neottia nidus-avis. RNAcentral's name for it is "eukaryotic LSU rRNA". It matches the Rfam family "Eukaryotic large subunit ribosomal RNA", at positions 1 to 666 of the family's 3401-position model. Lineage: Eukaryota; Fungi; Basidiomycota; Agaricomycetes; Sebacinales; Sebacinaceae. The record is from RNAcentral.
UCAAAUCGAGUAGGACUACCCGCUGAACUUAAGCAUAUCAAUAAGCGGAGGAAAAGAAACUAACAAGGAUUCCCCUAGUAACGGCGAGUGAAGAGGGAAGAGCUCAAAUUUUGAAUCUGGCACCUUUGGUGUCCGAAUUGUAAUCUAGAGAAGUGUUUUCCGUGGCGGACCGUGCAUAAGUCUCCUGGAAUGGAGCGUCAUAGAGGGUGAGAAUCCCGUAUAUGGCAUGGACUCCCGUUGCUCUGUGAUACACUCUCGACGAGUCGAGUUGUUUGGGAAUGCAGCUCUAAAUGGGUGGUAAAUGCCAUCUAAAGCUAAAUAUUGGCGAGAGACCGAUAGCGAACAAGUACCGUGAGGGAAAGAUGAAAAGCACUUUGGAAAGAGAGUGAAACAGUACGUGAAAUUGUUGAAAGGGAAACGCUUGAAGUCAGUCGCGCCGUUCGGGAUUCAGCCUUGCUUCUGCUCGGUUUACUUCCCGUUGGGUGGGUCAACAUCAGUUUCGGUCGGAGGAGAAAGACUUGGGGAAGGUAGCAGCAUUCGUGCUGUGUUAUAGCUCCUUGUUGUAUACUUCGACUGGGACUGAGGAUCGCAGCACGCCUUUGGCCGGGGUUCGCCCACGUACGUGCUUAGGAUGUUGGCAUAAUGGCUUUAAGCGACCCGUCUUGAAACACGGAC